UACGGGGGGGGCAAGCGUUGUUCGGAAUUACUGGGCGUAAAGGGCUCGUAGGUGGCCAACUAAGUCAGACGUGAAAUCCCUCGGCUUAACCGGGGAACUGCGUCUGAUACUGGAUGGCUUGAGUUCGGGAGAGAGAUGCGGAAUUCCAGGUGUAGCGGUGAAAUGCGUAGAUAUCAGGAGGAACACCGGUGGCGAAGGCGGCUUCCUGGACCGACACUGACGCUGAGGCGCGAAAGCUAGGGGAGCAAACGGG
This 253-nucleotide ribosomal RNA is filed under the name uncultured bacterium. Its description in RNAcentral is "partial 16S ribosomal RNA". It matches the Rfam family "Bacterial small subunit ribosomal RNA", at positions 524 to 776 of the family's 1533-position model. The record is from RNAcentral.